UACAGAGACUGCAAGCGUUAUUCGGAUUCACUGGGCGUAAAGGGUGCGCAGGCGGCCAGGUGUGUUAGGCGUGAAAGCCCGGGGCUUAACCCCGGAAUUGCACCUAAAACUACUUGGCUAGAGCAUUGGAGAGGGUAGCGGAAUUCACGGUGUAGCAGUGAAAUGCGUAGAUAUCGUGAGGAACACCAGAGGCGAAGGAGGCUACCUGGACAAUUGCUGACGCUCAGGCACGAAAGCGUGGGGAGCAAAAGGG
Molecule: ribosomal RNA, 253 nt
Filed under: uncultured bacterium
Lineage: Bacteria
Description: partial 16S ribosomal RNA
Rfam family: Bacterial small subunit ribosomal RNA
Source: RNAcentral